Molecule: ribosomal RNA, 253 nt
Filed under: uncultured bacterium
Lineage: Bacteria
Description: partial 16S ribosomal RNA
Rfam family: Bacterial small subunit ribosomal RNA
Source: RNAcentral
UACGUAGGGUGCAAGCGUUGUCCGGAAUUAUUGGGCGUAAAGAGCUCGUAGGCGGUCUGUCGCGUCGGCUGUGAAAUCCCGAGGCUCAACCUCGGGUCUGCAGUCGAUACGGGCAAACUAGAGUAUUGCAGGGGAGACUGGAAUUCCUGGUGUAGCGGUGAAAUGCGCAGAUAUCAGGAGGAACACCGGUGGCGAAGGCGGGUCUCUGGGCAAUAACUGACGCUGAGGCGCGAAAGCGUGGGGAGCAAACAGG